UUUAUGGAGAGUUUGAUCCUGGCUCAGGAUGAACGCUGGCGGCGUGCCUAAUACAUGCAAGUCGAGCGAACAGACGAGGAGCUUGCUCCUCUGACGUUAGCGGCGGACGGGUGAGUAACACGUGGAUAACCUACCUAUAAGACUGGGAUAACUUCGGGAAACCGGAGCUAAUACCGAAUAAUAUAUUGAACCGCAUGGUUCAAUAGUGAAAGACGGUUUUGCUGUCACUUAUAGAUGGAUCCGCGCCGCAUUAGCUAGUUGGUAGGGUAACGGCUUACCAAGGCGACGAUGCGUAGCCGACCUGAGAGGGUGAUCGGCCACACUGGAACUGAGACACGGUCCAGACUCCUACGGGAGGCAGCAGUAGGGAAUCUUCCGCAAUGGGCGAAAGCCUGACGG
RNAcentral lists this ribosomal RNA (399 nucleotides) under Staphylococcus epidermidis. RNAcentral describes it as "bacterial SSU rRNA". It matches the Rfam family "Bacterial small subunit ribosomal RNA", at positions 1 to 389 of the family's 1533-position model. The record is from RNAcentral. Lineage: Bacteria; Bacillati; Bacillota; Bacilli; Caryophanales; Staphylococcaceae.